CCUACGGGGGGCUGCAGUAGGGAAUCUUUCACAAUGGGCGAAAGCCUGAUGGUGCAACGCCGCGUGCAGGAUGAAGGCCUUCGGGUUGUAAACUGCUUUUAUAAGCGAGAAAUAUGAUGGUAACUUAUGAAUAAGGAUCGGCUAACUACGUGCCAGCAGCCGCGGUCAUACGUAGGAUCCGAGCAUUAUCCGGAGUAACUGGGUGUAAAGAGUUGCGUAGGUGGCAUAAUAAGUAGCUAGUGAAAUCUGGUGGCUCAACCAUUCAGACUAUUAGCUAAACUGUUAAGCUCGAGACCGUUAGGGGUAACUGGAAUUUCUAGUGUAGGAGUGAAAUCCGUAGAUAUUAGAAGGAACACCAAUAGCGUAGGCAGGUUGCUGGGACGGUUCUGACACUAAGGCACGAAAGCGUAGGGAGCAAACGGGAUUAGAUACCCCAGUAGUC
RNAcentral lists this ribosomal RNA (442 nucleotides) under uncultured bacterium. Its description in RNAcentral is "partial 16S ribosomal RNA". It matches the Rfam family "Bacterial small subunit ribosomal RNA", at positions 338 to 795 of the family's 1533-position model. The record is from RNAcentral.